RNAcentral lists this long non-coding RNA (687 nucleotides) under Equus asinus (donkey). Its description in RNAcentral is "lncRNA (ENSEASG00005033016.1)". The record is from RNAcentral. Lineage: Eukaryota; Metazoa; Chordata; Mammalia; Perissodactyla; Equidae.
GGCGCACGGCGCGCCGGGAAUUUGAGGACGCUCUGGCAGCUGGUCGGGCGGCUGAGUUCGCUUGGGGUGAGGUGUCUGUUUUGCCGUUUUACUUUUAACAAAUGCUGGGUUUUUAAUGUACGCCACUCCUGGUUUUUCAUUUUUCUCCACAUAGGUGUAUUUAUUCUCUUCCCACUCCAUGGCCUGCUGCCGCGCAGCGUUCUGAUCGAAUCCCUUAAUUGUCCGCAACUUUCCUUAGGGAUUCGCUUUCCAUUUCCUGUGUGUGUUCGACUAAACUGAUAGACUCCAAAAUUUGUCAUUGAGUCUCUGGGGGACUAAGCAGGAUUCUGCCUUUGCACAUUAUGUUCCCGUGGGCGAGGACUUCUUAAUGCUCACUUGAAUGCUUGGUGCCAACCUCUGCCCCUAGUUAGCGCUUCUCGUGGAUCCCUGUCUGCCUGCCCUUCUGCGUUUGAAACUCCGUGAGAGCAGCUAGUAUGCAUGAAAAAAGGAUGAUCAUAGUGAGGAAUGUGAGAAAGAAUACAGAACUGGGAACGGAGAUAUUUGGGAACAGAUAUUGCCUACCAUGCCGCAGACAGAAGGCUGAAGCUUUUCACCUAUAGUUCUCAUUCAGUCCUCCAAACAAAUCUGCAAAGUUGAUGGCAACUCCAUAAAGAUUAAAAAACAACAGCAAACUUAACCUCACAGAAU